UUAGCUCAGUUGGUUCAGAGCGUCUGCCUUACAAGCAGAGGGUCGGGGGUUCGACUCCCUCA
This 62-nucleotide transfer RNA is filed under the name Bacteroides sp. CAG:1060. RNAcentral describes it as "transfer RNA-Val(TAC)". It matches the Rfam family "tRNA", at positions 7 to 64 of the family's 71-position model. Rfam says of the family: Transfer RNA (tRNA) molecules are approximately 80 nucleotides in length. Their secondary structure includes four short double-helical elements and three loops (D, anti-codon, and T loops). The record is from RNAcentral. Lineage: Bacteria; Pseudomonadati; Bacteroidota; Bacteroidia; Bacteroidales; Bacteroidaceae.